RNAcentral lists this ribosomal RNA (253 nucleotides) under uncultured bacterium. RNAcentral describes it as "partial 16S ribosomal RNA". It matches the Rfam family "Bacterial small subunit ribosomal RNA", at positions 524 to 776 of the family's 1533-position model. The record is from RNAcentral.
UACAGAGGUCCCAAGCGUUGUUCGGAUUCACUGGGCGUAAAGGGUGCGUAGGUGGUGAGGUAAGUCGGAUGUGAAAGCUCCGAGCUCAACUCGGAAAUGGCAUUGGAAACUACUUUGCUCGAGGGUUUGAGGGGGGACUGGAAUACUUGGUGUAGCAGUGAAAUGCGUAGAUAUCAAGUAGAACACCAGUGGCGAAGGCGAGUCCCUGGAAAACUCCUGUCACUGAGGCACGAAAGCUAGGGGAGCAAACAGG